Molecule: ribosomal RNA, 466 nt
Filed under: uncultured bacterium
Lineage: Bacteria
Description: partial 16S ribosomal RNA
Rfam family: Bacterial small subunit ribosomal RNA
Source: RNAcentral
GACGAACGCUGGCGGCGCGCCUAACACAUGCAAGUCGAACGAGCGAGAGAGAGCUUGCCUUCUUGAGCGAGUGGCGAACGGGUGAGUAACGCGUGAGGAACCUGCCUCAAAGAGGGGGACAACAGUUGGAAACGACUGCUAAUACCGCAUAAGCCCACGGUGCCGCAUGGCACAGAGGGAAAAGGAGCAAUCCGCUUUGAGAUGGCCUCGCGUCCGAUUAGCUAGUUGGUGAGGUAACGGCCCACCAAGGCGACGAUCGGUAGCCGGACUGAGAGGUUGAACGGCCACAUUGGGACUGAGACACGGCCCAGACUCCUACGGGAGGCAGCAGUGGGGAAUAUUGCAAAAUGGGGGAAACCCUGAUGCAGCGACGCCGCGUGGAGGAAGAAGGUCUUCGGAUUGUAAACUCCUGUUGUUGGGGAAGAUAAUGACGGUACCCAACAAGGAAGUGACGGCUAACUACGUG